GACGAACGCUGGCGGCGUGCCUAACACAUGCCAGUCGAACGGUAAGGCCCCUGCCAGGGUCCGCCUUAGUCGCACACGUGUGUGUCACGUGUGCACCCUCCCCCUUUCAUUGGGGGACACCCCUGAAAAGCGGGCUAAUAUCCCGCAUAAUGCCCUUUCACCUCAUGGUUGGGGUCCCGCCUUCGGGUUGGUGGGAGAUGGUCCCGCGUCUUACUGCCUGGUUGGGGGGGUAACGGCUCCCCAAGGCUCCGCUGGGUAGCCGGCCUGAGAGGGUGACCGGGCACACUGGGACUGAGAGACGGCCCAGAGUCCUACGGGAGGCAGCAGUGGGGAAUAUUGGACAAUGGGCGAAAGCCUGAUCCAGCAACGCCGCGUGAGGGAUGACGGCCUUCGGGUUGUAAACCUCUUUCGCCUGAGACGAAGCGAGAGUGACGGUAGCAGGUAAAGAAGCCCCGGCCAACUACGUG
Molecule: ribosomal RNA, 467 nt
Filed under: uncultured bacterium
Lineage: Bacteria
Description: partial 16S ribosomal RNA
Rfam family: Bacterial small subunit ribosomal RNA
Source: RNAcentral